Molecule: ribosomal RNA, 473 nt
Filed under: uncultured bacterium
Lineage: Bacteria
Description: bacterial SSU rRNA
Rfam family: Bacterial small subunit ribosomal RNA
Source: RNAcentral
GAUAAACGCUGGCGGCGCACAUAAGACAUGCAAGUCGAACGGACUUAACUCAUUCUUACGAUUGAGAGCGGUUAGUGGCGGACUGGUGAGUAACACGUAAGCAACCUGCCUAUCAGAGGGGAAUAACAGUGAGAAAUCAUUGCUAAUACCGCAUAUGCUCACAGUACCACAUGGUACAGUGAGGAAAGGAGCAAUCCGCUGAUAGAUGGGCUUGCGCCUGAUUAGCUAGUUGGUGGGGUAACGGCCUACCAAGGCGACGAUCAGUAGCCGGACUGAGAGGUUGAACGGCCACAUUGGGACUGAGAUACGGCCCAGACUCCUACGGGAGGCAGCAGUGGGGAAUAUUGGGCAAUGGGCGAAAGCCUGACCCAGCAACGCCGCGUGAAGGAAGAAGGUCUUCGGAUUGUAAACUUCUUUUAUGAGGGACGAAGGACGUGACGGUACCUCAUGAAUAAGCCACGGCUAACUACGUG